Oreochromis niloticus (Nile tilapia) is the source of this 732-nucleotide long non-coding RNA. RefSeq lists it as uncharacterized. NCBI's taxonomy places the organism in Eukaryota, Metazoa, Chordata, Actinopteri, Cichliformes, Cichlidae. The record is from RefSeq and is a predicted model, not a curated record. The transcript has 3 exons.
AAAAAAAUAAAUAAAUCACACUUUCCCUCUGGUAAACAAUUUGAUUACAUUCUCUGAUUGUAUAUUACAAUCAGAGAAUAAUAUGUUUAUUUGCUUAGAGUAUGAGUGAUAAUGUUAUGUCCACUUCAAAGAAGGUUUGACUAAUGCCAGCUAACAGCUAACACAGGCUAACAGCAGCUAACAAUGGCGAAAGCAACAACGCUUAGCGACAGGAAAGUUAGUUAACUUUCUUUUGCUGCCAAUAUCUGGUCCUUUCUGGAAAGCUGAUUCGUUCUACACAUGUGAAAAUGUGCAUACUUCCUCUUAUCCCUAAAGUUUAAAAGUAAUCGUUUUCUUGCUUGUCUUGGAUUAAAUUUACUGGACUGUAUUUGUUUACAUCAGUAGUGUCUGUUGUUACAGUGAGGUCAUCUGACGUUUAAAGCUCGCCAUCUUUACCUCAAUUCGUUUCAAGGUUUUCUCAUUGCUGAUUGGCUCCUGGGUUUCUUUGUCCCUUAACUGAACUCACCUGAAGCACAUUAUAUAAGAACUGCAGCUAAGGUCAAAUGUGAUUGGGUGGUAAAGCAACAACAUCUUUUCCCACUUUGAUGGCAGACAAAACCUCCAAUUCCAGGUCAAGUAACAGCACAAAAAUCAAGACUACCACGGCUCUGUGAGGUUUUUCAAAUCUAUUUUUCCUGCAUGUGUUCACCAUGGCUUUUGCUUUCAAAUAAAACUUGCUGAGCGAGCAUGAAA